Non-coding RNA from Cinara cedri, 358 nucleotides. The record is from the annotation of a GenBank genome assembly. NCBI's taxonomy places the organism in Eukaryota, Metazoa, Arthropoda, Insecta, Hemiptera, Aphididae.
CUGAAACUUUUGCAAGUAAGAUACAGUCAGUGAAGUUUGUAAACAAAGCAUCACUCCCAAUUGCUGGGCUGGCGAUUGUUGUUUGUACUGGUUUUAUUAUUGCAAAUCUAAGUAUGGCGUUGAUUAUUUCUGCAGCUGUGGUUGCGGUAGUUGCUGCACUUAUUGUUAAGCCCAUUGCUUCAUAUGUACAAAGAGACUUGUUACAAAAUAGUAUUGUAAGUAGAAGUCUUAACAACCCAAAAGUUGAGGAAUUUCAAAGAGAGCCUCAGCUUGCUUAGUAGAAGUGAUACUUAUGCCUUCAGAGGAGGCAUAAGUAUUCUUUAAUUGUGAUACUCAAUUUCUUUUCUCUUGUGGUACU